AACGAACGCUGGCGGCAGGCUUAACACAUGCAAGUCGAACGAACGUAGCAAUACGUUAGUGGCGCACGGGUGAGUAACGCGUGGAUAUCUGCCUUUUGGUUCGGGAUAACCUUGGGAAACUAGGGCUAAUACCGAAUGGUUCCUACGGGAUAAAGAUUUAUCGCCAAAAGAUGAGUCCGCGUCCGAUUAGCUAGUUGGUGGGGUAAUGGCCCACCAAGGCGACGAUCGGUAGCUGGUCUGAGAGGACGAUCAGCCACACUGGGACUGAGA
RNAcentral lists this ribosomal RNA (270 nucleotides) under uncultured bacterium. Its description in RNAcentral is "partial 16S ribosomal RNA". It matches the Rfam family "Bacterial small subunit ribosomal RNA", at positions 29 to 324 of the family's 1533-position model. The record is from RNAcentral.